GACGAACGCUGGCGGCGUGCUUAACACAUGCAAGUCGAACGAAGAGCGAUGGAAGCUUGCUUCUAUCAAUCUUAGUGGCGAACGGGUGAGUAACGCGUAAUCAACCUGCCCUUCAGAGGGGGACAACAGUUGGAAACGACUGCUAAUACCGCAUACGAUCUAAUCUCGGCAUCGAGGAUAGAUGAAAGGUGGCCUCUACAUGUAAGCUAUCAUUGAAGGAGGGGAUUGCGUCUGAUUAGCUAGUUGGAGGGGUAACGGACCACCAAGGCGAUGAUCAGUAGCCGGUCUGAGAUGAUUAACGGCCACAUUGGGACUUAGACACGGCCCAGACUCCUACGGGAGGCAGCAGUAGGGAAUCUUCCGCAAUGGACGAAAGUCUGACGGAGAAACGCCGCGUGAGUGAUGACCGCCUUCGGGUUGUAAAGCUCUGUUAAUCGGGACGAAAGGCCUUCUUGCGAAUAGGGAGAAGGAUUGACGGUACCGGAAUAGAAAGCCACGGCUAACUACGUG
RNAcentral lists this ribosomal RNA (510 nucleotides) under uncultured bacterium. RNAcentral describes it as "partial 16S ribosomal RNA". It matches the Rfam family "Bacterial small subunit ribosomal RNA", at positions 28 to 507 of the family's 1533-position model. The record is from RNAcentral.